GCAAAUUUCUCUGUGAAAGCAGAUCGAUCGCGCGAGCAAGAUUUCGUGAUGAGAGAUCAUCCAUGGGUACCAUUCGAAAUUAAUAGUCAGUUUGGCGCGUAUCUGACCUAAAAAUUAGCGUAAAUUUCGCGAAAGCGGCUUACACGUCCCAACCAGGCGUGCUCGCUCGUCGCUCUUGAGUAGCUCGCUCAGCGUUUUCGCGACUUGAGUGGCCACACGAGCCUUUCAGACACGAACUUUCAGAGAGCAGACGAGGAGCGGGGUUGAGUUGGGAAAAAGGAAAAAAAUAGAUUCCAUGCGAAGAGAAUCAGUGGGAAAAAGUCGCUCGUAAGAGGGAUUCCUUAACCACCCUUGAUUUCCAUCCACUUCUGGCUAAUUGACUCGACUCCAGACCGCUUUCAGCCUCGAAUUACUUCGAGCAUAAAAGAAACGAGCUUUCCAAAUUUCUCAGACGCUCUUCAGUCAUAUUUUUUUUCUUUUUUUGCUUGUCGAUAGACGGAUCAAACUCGAGGACAAAGUCGGAAAUUAAAUUGUUUUCUCGUUUAAUCUCCACCAAAAGAAAAAAACAAGGGAAAACCGAUCGAGAAAUGAAAAGGGAUUUUUCAAUGGUAGAAGCCAAGUAUUUACGUGGUGAUUUUAUCAAGACUGAACAGAAAGCUUCGACUAUAGGCGCAUAGGAUAGCCGGAGCGUUGUGCAUGAACGCUUCAGCAACGAAGAAUUCGCGAAUCUGGGACAGUUUGAUCGAUAAUGGCGUAAACCUGGCCGCGGCAAUUCCAGGAAUGGCAGCCUAAUUGGAUCCUCCUUAAAUAAGUAUUUCAAUCUACCCGCAGCCCGCCGUUCUCUCAAGGCACGUCGCUCUUUUCGAGACGAACAACCGUGCGAACGUUUUUUCGAAUCCUUUCGAAAGCCAUGGAAACAAGAAGAGGAUCACAUGGAAACAAAAAUUCGAGGAUUUUCAAGAGACGAAGACAAACUUCGUACAAAAGGGUGGAUAGUGACGGUGAAGAUAAGUUAUAUUGAACUCAGUGCAGAAUGUUACUUUCACAAAACAGCGUUCAGUUCGCGGACAAAGGAAGCUAAGUUUGAGUUGUAGUUUUGAGUUAAUUUACAGG
This is a long non-coding RNA of Bombus impatiens (common eastern bumble bee), 1113 nucleotides long. RefSeq lists it as uncharacterized. The record is from RefSeq and is a predicted model, not a curated record. The transcript has 3 exons. Lineage: Eukaryota; Metazoa; Arthropoda; Insecta; Hymenoptera; Apidae.